Molecule: ribosomal RNA, 441 nt
Filed under: uncultured bacterium
Lineage: Bacteria
Description: partial 16S ribosomal RNA
Rfam family: Bacterial small subunit ribosomal RNA
Source: RNAcentral
CCUACGGGAGGCAGCAGUGGGGGAUAUUGCACAAUGGGGGGAACCCUGAUGCAGCGACGCCGCGUGGGUGAAGGAGUGCUUCGGCAUGUUAAGCCCUAUCGGCAUGGAAGAAGCAAGACGGUACCUGACUAAGAAGCCCCGGCUAACUACGUGCCAGCAGCCGCGGUAAUACGUCGGGGGCGAGCGUUAGCCGGAUUGACUGGGGGUAAAGGGGGCGUAGGGGGCCAUGAAAGACAGGGGGGAAAGCCGGGGGCCCAACCCCGGGACUGCCGUUGAAACGGGCUGGCUGGAGUGCAGCAGGGGCAGGCGGAAUUCGUGGUGUAGCGGUGAAAUGCGUAGAUAUCACGAGGAACACCGACGGCGAAGGCAGCCUGCUGGACUGUGACUGACGUUGAGGCUCGAAAGCGUGGGGAGCGAACAGGAUUAGAUACCCCAGUAGUC